UUUUUUUUUUGCUCACUGUGAGACUUUUUGGGCUCUCUGACUCCAAACUUGAGAUCCCAAGGUUUCAAAUUCUUACCUGGGGGCUGGAAAUGGAGAUUGGUUGGAGCAACUGAAGCAACAAGAGCCAGAAUUUUUUUGAUAUCUCGAGGGUUUUAUCUACAGAUAGAAACCCUUAAGUCUCUUGAGGAAAUCACACCAAAAUCUGGGGAUUUGGGGCCUCCUAUGUGGCAUUUCCAGGUAUUUUGGCUUGGAUGUUCUGACAGGAAUUAAUUCUUCAGGGCUUCUGUGAGACCCUGGAAACCCAAAGGUUUUGCUGAGUUCUUGCCCUUUAUUUAACUGAAAUUCAUUCUGCCCACACCUGACUAAAUAAUUUGGUGUUUUCUGACCUCUCUUUGGGUAGAAACCCCUCCCAAGUGACUUCCUUGAUCUUCCAUCAAGCCCUUUUAAAAUGGUUUAUUUUUAAUUAAAAAUCACCUUGGCCCAUUAGCAGCAAACAAAGCUGAUUUCUGGGCUUUCCUGGCACUUUUUUUAAUAUUUCCAGACUUUCCUGCUUCCACCUCCUCUGCUCUGCACAGGAGCUGAGAGAAGAUGAAUCCUGAUGAUUUAUGGGUUUGGAGCACCUUGAAGAUUCCCACUGUGGGAGGCUGAUCCUGGGUUUUAGUGGGAUUUAAAAACUCAAAUAAACAGCAUGGGAAAAAAAAUGCACUCAAACAUCUCAAAAUGAUUUUCCUGAAACCCCAGCAAGGUGGGGAGACUCUCCCACAACAUUCCCAGAGAAGCUGUGGCUGCUCCUGGAUCCCUGCAAGUGUCCAAGGCCAGGGCUUGGAGCAGCCUGGGGUAGUGGGAAGUGUCCAGAGGGUGGAACUGGAGGAGUUCAAGGUCCCUUCCCACCCAAACCAUUCCAGGAUUCCACCCCAGCCAAGCUGAGGACACAAACAGAGACUC
Vidua macroura (Pin-tailed whydah) is the source of this 945-nucleotide long non-coding RNA. RefSeq lists it as uncharacterized. The transcript has 3 exons. Lineage: Eukaryota; Metazoa; Chordata; Aves; Passeriformes; Viduidae. The record is from RefSeq and is a predicted model, not a curated record.